This 448-nucleotide ribosomal RNA is filed under the name uncultured bacterium. RNAcentral describes it as "partial 16S ribosomal RNA". It matches the Rfam family "Bacterial small subunit ribosomal RNA", at positions 29 to 523 of the family's 1533-position model. The record is from RNAcentral.
AACGAACGCUGGCGGCAUGCCUAACACAUGCAAGUCGAACGAAGCCUUCGGGCUUAGUGGCGCACGGGUGCGUAACGCGUGGGAAUCUGCCCUUGGGUUCGGAAUAACAGUUAGAAAUGACUGCUAAUACCGGAUGAUGUCUUCGGACCAAAGAUUUAUCGCCCAAGGAUGAGCCCGCGUAGGAUUAGGUAGUUGGUGGGUAAUGGCCCACCAAGCCGACGAUCCUUAGCUGGUCUGAGAGGAUGAUCAGCCACCCUGGGACUGAGACACGGCCCAGACUCCUACGGGAGGCGACAGUGGGGAAUAUUGGACAAUGGGCGAAAGCCUGAUCCAGCAAUGCCGCGUGAGUGAUGAAGGCCUUAGGGUUGUAAAGCUCUUUUACCAGGGAUGAUAAUGACAGUACCUGGAGAAUAAGCUCCGGCUAACUCCGUGCCAGCCGCCGCGGUAA